GUGUGUGUGUGAGAGAGGGAGACAGACAAGCCUUGUAUGACAGAGAGGGAUAUGUUUCAUUUAAUCUUUGUUUUGUAUUGAUAAUAUGUUUUGUUCCUUGUAUGAUUUCCUGGUAUUUAUUUGUAUUUAUUUAUUUUAUUUAUUUAUUUAUUUUUAUUUCUUUUAUUUAUCUAUUUUUUUUUGGGUGGUGCACAAGACUUUUUCCACCACGGGCUGGCAGGGCUGAGAGUGUGAAAUGUGUGUGUGUGUGUGUGUAUGUGUGUGUGUGUAUGGUGCCAUGUCUGGGCCUCCCUGUGUGUGAGUGCUAGCCUGGUAUAUGGACAGAUUUAUUUUGAAGUUUUUAUAUUUUUCCCUUUACUUUUAAAUUGUUAUCAUCUUGAAAUUAGUUCAGAGAUCAAAAAUAUAUGAUGUCAGAUACAUAGGUACUUAUUUAUUAAUUUAUUUUAAUGUUUAUGUUACUGUUUUAUUAGUUCAGAGAGGGAGAGAGUCUUGCAUUCAUAGUCACCCAAGACGUACCAAUUUCAGACCAAAAUUAAUCUACCAUUCAAUCUUUAUUAGCUAUUAUCUAAUAUAAUACCACUUUUAAACACCAAAUCCAUCAACCAUUUAGUCCACAGCACCUGUAUUCCUAAGUACAUAAUGUUUAGACCUGAAAUUAAUCUGUAGUUCAUAUUGCAGCACCUGUGUCACCUUGUACUGCUCCUCCUCUCCCCGACAACCCGAGGAAGAGGAGCAGCCUGCCUGGAGGUCCUCAUGGCAGUCUUUGGGCACAGAGGAAUGAAGAGAUGUGGAUGAUAAAGGAACACAAGCAGAGGAAUGAUGGAUAUAAAUGAAUUAGAUAAAAGGAAGAGUGGACAAAGGAUGAGGGAACUGAAGACAUCAAGGCACCCAUCUGCUGUGAAGUGGCUGCCGUUCCUACCACUCCAAUGCACCUGGUGAUCGGGUGAGUGUGGCAAUAGUGAACCGGAACUGAUAUAGUGAAGGCCAGAGGAAAGGUGAAGAGAUUGAGAUAACUGGAAGAAGAAGGCAUUGGGGGGGGGAGGAUUGUAAGAUUAAAAGGAAGGAAGAAAAAGAAUAAAGAUGAGAACUAAAGGGAAGAGGAAAUACAAGGAACACAUGAGGAUGAGGAAGAGGAGGGAAAGAAAGAAGAAAUUGAAGAAAGGAACUGAAGAAAAGAAAAUACAAGGAAGAAGUGAGGAGGUUAAGCAAAAAAAAAAGGAUUAUGAGGAUGCAACAAAUAGAUAAUACAAAGAAUGGCAUACAUACAUGCAUCCAUACAUAUGUAGAGUAAGUGUAUGAGGAAGAGGAGAAAGGGAAAGAAAUACCAGAAGGCAACUGAAGAGGAGAAAAUAAGACAUGAAGUGAUGAAAGAAAAUGACUGAAAGGAGGAAAGAUAAGAACAGAACUACAGGAAAACAAAAUGAUAAAUAAAAAAUACUCACCCAUA
Molecule: long non-coding RNA, 1447 nt
Organism: Scylla paramamosain (green mud crab)
Lineage: Eukaryota; Metazoa; Arthropoda; Malacostraca; Decapoda; Portunidae
Exons: 2
Source: RefSeq, a predicted model, not a curated record